This 933-nucleotide ribosomal RNA is filed under the name uncultured Bacteroidota bacterium. RNAcentral's name for it is "bacterial SSU rRNA". It matches the Rfam family "Bacterial small subunit ribosomal RNA", at positions 56 to 985 of the family's 1533-position model. Lineage: Bacteria; Pseudomonadati; Bacteroidota. The record is from RNAcentral.
UGCAAGUCGAACGGGAUUAUUGGUAGCAAUAUCGAUAUGAGAGUGGCGCACGGGUGCAUAACACGUAUGCAAUUUACCUCUAACUGGGGAAUAGCCUUCCGAAAGGAAGAUUAACACCGCAUAACAUUUCUGAAGGACAUCCUUCGGUUAUCAAAACUCAGGUGGUUAGAGAUAAGCAUGCGUCCGAUUAGCUAGUUGGCGGGGUAAUAGCCCACCAAGGCAACGAUCGGUAGGGGGUCUGAGAGGAUGAUCCCCCACACUGGUACUGAGACACGGACCAGACUCCUACGGGAGGCAGCAGUAAGGAAUAUUGGACAAUGGGGGCAACCCUGAUCCAGCCAUGCCGCGUGAAGGAUUAAGGCCCUAUGGGUUGUAAACUUCUUUUAUACGGGACAAAACCCCUCUAUGCGUAGAGGGUUGAUGGUACUGUAAGAAUAAGCAUCGGCUAACUUCGUGCCAGCAGCCGCGGUAAUACGAACGAUGCAAGCGUUAUCCGGAAUUAUUGGGUUUAAAGGGUGCGUAGGCGGACCUGUAAGUCAGUGGUGAAAGCCUGUUGCUCAACAACAGAACUGCCAUUGGUACUGCAAGUCUUGAGUACAGUUGAGGUAGGCGGAAUGUGUCAUGUAGCGGUGAAAUGCUUAGAUAUGACACAGAACACCGAUUGCGAAGGCAGCUUGCUAAACUGUAACUGACGCUGAUGCACGAAAGCGUGAGGAGCAAACAGGAUUAGAUACCCUGGUAGUCCACGCCCUAAGCGAUGAUAACUCGCUGUUGGCGAUACACAGCCUGCGGCCAUACGAAAGCAUUAAGUUAUCCACCUGGGGAGUACGACCGCAAGGUUGAAACUCCAAGGGAAUUGACUGGGGGCUCGCACAACCGGACGGAGCAUGUGAUCUACUUCGAUGAUACUGCGAGGACCUUACUGAGCUUGAA